This 433-nucleotide ribosomal RNA is filed under the name uncultured bacterium. RNAcentral describes it as "partial 16S ribosomal RNA". It matches the Rfam family "Bacterial small subunit ribosomal RNA", at positions 29 to 507 of the family's 1533-position model. The record is from RNAcentral.
AACGAACGCUGGCGGCAUGCCUAACACAUGCAAGUCGAACGAGACCUUCGGGUCUAGUGGCGCACGGGUGCGUAACGCGUGGGAACCUGCCCUUAGGUUCGGAAUAACUCCCCGAAAGGGGUGCUAAUACCGGAUAAUGUCUUCGGACCAAAGAUUUAUCGGCUUUGGAUGCGCGCGCGUUGGAUUAGCUAGUUGGUAGGGUAAAAGACUACCAAGGCGACGAUACAUAGCUGGUCUGAUAGGAUGAUCAGCCACACUGGGACUGUGACACGGCCCGGACUCCUGCGAGAGGAAGCAAUGGGGAAUAUUGGACAAUGGGCGAGUGCCUGAUGCAGCAAGGCCGCGUAAGUGAUUAAGGCCUUAGGGUUGUAAAGCUCUUUUAACAGGGAUGAUAAUGACGGUACCGGAAGAAUAAGCGCCGGCUAACUACGUG